GGCCUCCCUCUGUGGGGCAAUCGAUCUGGGGGCCCCUGCCAUCGAUUGCCCCACAGAGGGAGGCC
Non-coding RNA from Myotis lucifugus (little brown bat), 65 nucleotides. Lineage: Eukaryota; Metazoa; Chordata; Mammalia; Chiroptera; Vespertilionidae. The record is from Rfam.